This 64-nucleotide transfer RNA is filed under the name Allobates aff. tapajos 3 AR-2020. RNAcentral describes it as "tRNA-Lys". The record is from RNAcentral. Lineage: Eukaryota; Metazoa; Chordata; Amphibia; Anura; Aromobatidae.
AGCUAUAGGAAACAGCGACAGCCUUUUAAGCUGUAGACAGGUGGUUUCCACCCACCCUCAUCGA